UGGGGAAUUUUGGACAAUGGGCGCAAGCCUGAUCCAGCAAUGCCGCGUGCAGGAUGAAGGCCUUCGGGUUGUAAACUGCUUUUGUACGGAACGAAAAGCCUCUCUCUAAUACAGGGGGUGAUGACGGUACCGUAAGAAUAAGCACCGGCUAACUACGUGCCAGCAGCCGCGGUAAUACGUAGGGUGCAAGCGUUAAUCGGAAUUACUGGGCGUAAAGCGUGCGCAGGCGGUUUUGUAAGACAGUGGUGAAAUCCCCGGGCUCAACCUGGGAACUGCCAUUGUGACUGCAAGGCUGGAGUGCGGCAGAGGGGGAUGGAAUUCAGCGUGUAGCAGUGAAAUGCGUAGAUAUGCGGAGGAACACCGAUGGCGAAGGCAAAUCCCCUGGGCCUGCACUGACGCUCAUGCACGAAAGCGUGGGGAGCAAACAGGAUUAGAUACCCUGGUAGUCCACGCCCUAAAACGAUGUCAACUGGUUGUUGGGGAUUUAUUUCUUCAGUAACGAAGCUAACGCGUGAAGUUGACCGCCUGGGGGA
This 533-nucleotide ribosomal RNA is filed under the name uncultured bacterium. RNAcentral describes it as "partial 16S ribosomal RNA". It matches the Rfam family "Bacterial small subunit ribosomal RNA", at positions 355 to 880 of the family's 1533-position model. The record is from RNAcentral.